RNAcentral lists this ribosomal RNA (858 nucleotides) under uncultured bacterium. RNAcentral describes it as "bacterial SSU rRNA". It matches the Rfam family "Bacterial small subunit ribosomal RNA", at positions 8 to 916 of the family's 1533-position model. The record is from RNAcentral.
AGAGUUUGAUCAGGCUCAGAACGAACGCUGGCGGCAGGCCUAACACAUGCAAGUCGAGCGCACCUUCGGGUGAGCGGCGGACGGGUUAGUAACGCGUGGGAACAUACCCUUCUCUAAGGAAUAGUCUCGGGAAACUGGGGGUAAUACCUUAUAAGCCCUUCGGGGGAAAGAUUUAUCGGUGAAGGAUUGGCCCGCGUAAGAUUAGAUAGUUGGUGGGGUAAUGGCCUACCAAGUCUACGAUCUUUAGCUGGUUUGAGAGGAUGAUCAGCAACACUGGGACUGAGACACGGCCCAGACUCCUACGGGAGGCAGCAGUGGGGAAUCUUAGACAAUGGGCGCAAGCCUGAUCUAGCCAUGCCGCGUGAGUGACGAAGGCCUUAGGGUCGUAAAGCUCUUUCGCCAGAGAUGAUAAUGACAGUAUCUGGUAAAGAAACCCCGGCUAACUCCGUGCCAGCAGCCGCGGUAAUACGGAGGGGGUUAGCGUUGUUCGGAAUUACUGGGCGUAAAGCGUACGUAGGCGGAUUAGUCAGUCAGAGGUGAAAUCCCAGGGCUCAACCCUGGAACUGCCUUUGAUACUGCUAGUCUUGAGUUCGAGAGAGGUGAGUGGAAUUCCAAGUGUAGAGGUGAAAUUCGUAGAUAUUUGGAGGAACACCAGUGGCGAAGGCGGCUCACUGGCUCGAUACUGACGCUGAGGUACGAAAGUGUGGGGAGCAAACAGGAUUAGAUACCCUGGUAGUCCACACCGUAAACGAUGAAUGCCAGACGUCGGGGGGCUUGCCCUUCGGUGUCACACCUAACGGAUUAAGCAUUCCGCCUGGGGAGUACGGUCGCAAGAUUAAAACUCAAAGGAAUUGACGG